UGGGUGCCCAGGAAGUGGAAAUGGUAGACAGAGCAUCAUCUCUGCCACAGGAACCCUUCAGCUGUGUUGCUACUUCCUCCAUAGCCAUCAGGGUCCUUCCAUAGCCCUCCAGAAUACUCUAGCAUUUCUGUACAUACUGUCCAUCUUGUGACUUUUUUAGAGGAUGCAUUCUGUCCCCUGACUGGAUGGGAGCUCCUUAUUUUUCACAUCUUGGCUCUCCAGUGCCUGGUACAGGGCUCUAGAGGGAGUUGGACACCACCAUAAAUGGCCAGGAGGUGCCUUAGAUGCUCAGAGGUGGUCACCUGUGCUGUCCUUGCACAUUACUAAAAACAGUUAUGUGGAUGGAUACCAAAGUUAAAAACCAGUUACUCGUUUCUCGGUUGCUGAACUGGACAGAGAAGAGAGAGAAUCCAAAACUGAGGUCAGCUGCCUUAUCGAUUUAGUCAUGAGGGAGAAAGUUCUCCUAACCAGAACACCCAGGAAGUCCAGCUGGCUGCCUUCAGGAACUUACGUCCUGGAAAGCAAUGGGUCAACACCUAGUAUUACUUGUUGGAAUUGAACAAGGAUUUAUUUACUGAUCAGUCAAUUUUUUUAAUGUAUAUUUCCUGCUAAGAAUGGAAUUAAAAGGCAGCCAAUCCUGGCAGAAAUUGCUGAUUCCAUGUCUGAGGACAAGAAAUGUAAAAAUGGGUUCAGAACAUUUUGUCAUACCAGAAACCAGGGGAUAACCAAAUAUUGCUAGCAUCAUGCCAGAAUGACCUUGGAGCCAACCUGAAGAGGUUCCCAAUGGAUCUAUAAAUUCACAGGCAUUCAAAAGAAACAAACUUCUGAGGCCAUGUUGGAAGAUGUUAAAGAACCAUCUUAUUUUCAAAACCAACAAAGAAAAAAGAUCGUAUAUUUUGCUAUUCCUAAAUGAAUUGUACUUUAGGGUAACCAAAUAGCUGGUGGAAUAAUUUUUCUUUAUGGGAGUAUUCCAGCUAAUAAUGACUCUUGGUAAUGACUAUUGAUAACUUGUGAUAUCACAAAAAAAGAAACAACCUGACGCUAUAUGCCUCCUGACGGAAAUAACACAAUCCUAUGAAAUCAUGUUGCCCAAAACUUGAACCUGAUUCUGAUCAUGCUUCUAGAUGUAACUACCAAUUUUCAGAAAAUACAGUGAAGUAUUAAGUGGCACUAUAAGGAUCUAAGCAGCAAAAUCCAGGCUAUAGGUAAUUUGGGGGGACAAAAGCUCCACUGACAAAUUUCAAAGAACAAAGUAAGUGGUAAGAGAAGAGGGAACCUAUACAUCGAAAGAUACUUGAGAUAUGUAUUAUUUAAUUCCAGGGGACCUAGUUGGUUCUUUUUAAAAAUCUUGCAGCCACUAGACUAUAACCUCCAUAAGGGCAGGGCAUUUUGUCCAUUUUGUCCACUGCUUUAUGCCUCUUCCCUAAAUCUGGAAUAAUAUUUGUUCAUAGACAAAUACAUGACUUCAUCUCCCUGGCUGUAGCUAAUGAGAUAAGGAAUAAAUGACUGACUUAGUUAAGAGUAUUUGGGAGCAAAUGAGAGCUGAUGGGUUCUUCUGUUCCCUCCAAUGUUUGAUGAUCUCAGAGUCUGCUGAUUCUUCCCCUGAAAAUCUAUAUUUAGGACAGUUACUGACUGCCUUGGUUUGGUUCCAAAGGGGCAGACCCUGAGAACCCUGAGAAAAGUAUUCAAGUGCAAGGAGUUUAUUUUGGAAAGGAUCCCAGGAAACAUCUGUGGGUAAGUUGGGAACUGAGAAAGGAACAGAAUGGCAGCCAAUACAAGGUGUAUUAUAAAGCACAUUUCUUUAUGGACAUCUGGAGCUUAAUGUCAGUGGGGAGUUCUGGGAGUCAGUAUAGGGUUAUCCCACCCUAAGGGCAAGGGAGCUUUGGGCUUCGUACACCACUUCCAUCAGUCAUUGAUUGAGGACCACUGGGGUUGGGUGAGGGGUUGGUUUAUUCUGUAAGGAGGCACGGGUGGGGCACUUUCGUCAGGUACUACUCUGCUAAACUUAUUGACUCUGACAAUAUAUAUCUAAUAAGACAAAUAUUUAAUACAGUGCUAGGCUCACAUAGAUAUUAGCCUAGGGUAGUAAGUAAAUCAGAAUCUGGAGUCAACCCAGCUUGGGUUCAGCAAUAAUCUCUUCUAUUUACUUGCUUUGUGACCCUGAAAAAAGUCACUCCACGUCUCUGCACUUCAGUUCCCUCGUAUAUAAAAGGGUCUGAGGCAUAAGAUUGAUAUGGAGAAUAAAUAAGAUCGUACCUGGUACACAGUCAGCGCUAGGAAAGAAAUUUACAUCUUUUCCCGUCUCCUGGAUUGAAGCCAAACAAUAAAUUACAAAAUUUCAGGCGUCAGUGACCCAGGAGGAAUCUGUACGGAGAGGACGAGGAAAAGGGAAGACAAUUCUGGUAUUCCUGAGUUACAACAUGGAGGAAACACCACUGCCCUGCUUCCUAAGUUUGGACCUUGCGUGUCCACAAGAGUGCAGUACCCCUGCGGACAUGGAGAAGCUCGAGAGAGAGGUUUUUUCAUGUGAGGAUGACUAGUGAAGCCAUUCAGGCAAAUAUUGGGACCUUUAGUCCCUGAGAGGUCAGAGAUCUGAAUGCUGUCCUAGACUUUGACAACCUACUAGCUCAACUUAAGCAUUUUUAGAGAAUGUAUGUACAGUUCAGUAUAGAUCGCUUGACUGAGUUAGAAAACACCGCCUAGAGUUUUCACUGGGGCAUGGGACAUAGAAACACAACUUGGUGAGAGACAGAAUUGCUCCAGAGGGAAAGAGGGUCACUCGGCCCGUGGCCUGUGGUGCCUGCAGUGCCUGAGAAGACUUUUCAUUCUCAUGUGUUGACAAAAACCACUGGUAUCACUCAUGCACGUGACCAUACGUUCUAGUCAAUCUCAAAUUUAUAUGGAGCUGGAAAUGAAAAGGGCACAGUUGGAAUCGUUGGGGUUUUGGUGUCUCCUAGAUGCUUCAAGACUUUGUUGUGAAGCUUUCAGGGAUCAUACCUGGUUGUGGCUUGUGGUUUCAGUUGUCAUUGAGAGGGGCCAAUUUUUUAAUGAAUGACUAGAAUGGUAGUAGGCAAAUGACAAGUGGGCAGGGGUAGGGUGAGGGAGGAGUUCUCAAGUACAUAUGUAAAAAUAAGAAAGGAGAAGAAGAAGGAGUAGGAGGGGAGGGAGAAAGGACAAGAAAGAAGAAAGAACAGGAAAAAGAAAUCCAAAGGACUGGGAUAUAAAAAUUUCCAAAGAGAAACUCUGUAGUUUACCCAUAUAUGUGCAGUAAAUAUUUGCCAGUCCCUUCUAAUGUGUCAAGGAUGGUUCUAGAUGCUGAAGACACAUCAGUGAAUCAAACAUGCCUUUCUGGCAGUUAUGUUCUAGUGGUCCUGCUGGAACAGAGAUCUAAAUCCAGAUCUGCCUUUUACAGUCUAAAAGGCACAACACGGCAGAGUGUCUGCUGUGAGAAGUCUCCCUGGCCAGAUAGGAUUGGAAAUUGGAAGAGAACUGACUCAGAGCAAAUGUUGCCAAGCAACAGAUCAGAGUCACCAAAUCCUCGGAAACGUUCUGGCUGAGCAUGCACUGUGGGGUGAGAGCGGGUUCCUGUCUCUGUGGGAGAGCGAAGUGUUCAAGUGAGGCCCUCGGGGGGAGUUCUUGAUGCUGGCUACAGCUUUGAUGAAGGCUUCAGCUGAAAGAUACUUCAGGUCGUAUGUGGGACCUGCCGGGACCUGCUGGAAUUUGAAUCUGGUCUAGAAUCAAAGGUUCACCCUGACGAGGGUCACCAGUCUCUCGUAUAAAGCCUUUGAAGAGACCAUUUCGAAUCUUCAGGCACAAGGAUGAAAACUUCCUCAGACACGGGAGAAAGAAUUUCUUCUACUGGCAAAGAAGAGUCAGUAGAACUUGGGGAUUGAAGGUCCCCAGCUGUAUUGACUCUGCCUAUAUGCCCCCUUCCCAAUUUUUAGGGUCCCACUCCUUUCCAAUCAUUGCCUUAAUUUUAGUAAAAAAAGAUCCUGUAAGGUUGGCCAUUCAAUUGGAUUGGACUUUGGGCUUGGUUUUCAGAAAUCCUGGCCCUGUAGCUACUGGAAAAAGGUUUGGUUUUAGGGCAAGCACAGAUUUCUUGUCCUUUCGUCAGACCUUGAGUUGGGAAUUUAAAGCCCUAAGUGCAUCAUUUUCUCCCUCAAGUUCUCCAGAAUUCAGCCAAAGAACUCUAUUAUAUAUGAAGUUUUUUUAUAUGUGUGGAAGAAACUACUUUGUCACCAAAGCUUUGUUUGCUAUGGACAUUUGACUGCAGGUAAUCGUUAAAGUAACUUCUGCUGUCCAUCUCACAGAGCCCCAUUAUCAGGUAUUAUUAAUGAUCCUGGAUUAUUAAUGCCUUUACAUUGAAUAAGAUCAGAGAACAAAUUUCAGAUAGACUAGAAUUGGGUCAGAGAACACAUCUUCUGGAACCAUGUCUGAUACCAGUUUCCCUGUACUUCCCGGUUCAGUCAGAGAAGCCAAAUCACUCUCAGUGAUGCCGAAUAAUGGAUUUAUUUCAGGAAUUAGACCUUACACGGUUGUAGAAGCUGCUGGGGGACUCUCUGCAAGGCUGUUGUCUCUCCAUCUGGUGGUGACCCUCAAGUCUUUAUAGUUUUAGGACCACCUAGUGAGGAAGGAAAGCUAGAUGUGAAAUGGGAUCAACAAGGGCAGAUUGUGACCCAUGAGAAGAAACCAGAGCCUGUCCAUCUGUCACUGUCUCCAACCCUGAUGGCCCAGGGAACCUGUAGGAGAGGCUGGUGGUCUUCCCCAUGGAGCUGGGCACAUGCCUGGCCCAGGACUCAGAGACGCCGAAGGAAGAGAUCUGGGGGGAAGUGGAGAAGUAGCAGCCACGGGACAGGGUGUGGCAGCAUAUCCGUGACCACGCUGUGAGCCAACCGCGGCCGGAGUCCGCACUGACCGUCGGGAGCAUAAAAAUAUGGCGGAGGCCUCACUGUUGAGUUCCAGAUAUCAUGCACAUUUCUCUGGUGACCAACCCUAACCCCGGAAGAUGCAGGAGGAGAAUGCUGGAAAUGUAU
Ailuropoda melanoleuca (giant panda) is the source of this 5033-nucleotide long non-coding RNA. RefSeq lists it as uncharacterized. Lineage: Eukaryota; Metazoa; Chordata; Mammalia; Carnivora; Ursidae. The transcript has 3 exons. The record is from RefSeq and is a predicted model, not a curated record.